AAUAACUAAAAAAAAUCUCACGUAUAUACUUUACGAUUUUUAAUCAUUUGAAGUCAUAAAGGUUUUGAAUUCCUUGAUUCCGGUAUUUCCUCUAAUCGCUGAUUGGUCAAAUCGGCUCCGCUCUCCAUUUUCAAACAAGAUAGCGUCGGUUCAAGAAGGUGAAAGUUGAAAGGUUCUAUUAUUACUUUGUUCAACGAACCAUGUAUGCCCUUAUGGAGUGGAUAGAGGAAGAAAAGGUCAGCAUCAUAACCAUAUCACGCAUCAAAGAUCCAAGAAAGGAGUUUUGCCAGUAUAAAGUUGGGGAUUUGGUGAAAGCCAGCUGCCAUGGCUUUUCUGGCGUGCAUCCCGCCAAGAUCUUAGAUGAUGGAGCUGAUGCCUGGUAGUGGGAUCUACAUUUAUCCCAAAGAUAUACAAGCUUUAUAUAAGCCAAAAAAAAAAAAAAACAACAAGUGGAACUUUUCAGGAGGGGGAACCUAACUGGUGCAAAUGAAAAGACCAUUUUAAACACUAUUCUUGAAGAUGCCAGGAUUCAGAGGCCAUUGUCAAGUUUUCGAUGAGGACCAAGAUUAGUUCCCAAGUCAGCCUCCAGAACAUGAAACAGACCUAGCUUUUAUACAUUCAGUAAUGUGAGAUAUAUAUAUAUAUAAACUGGGAAACUUUCUCACUUACCGGCGCGAGCGGGAUUCGAACCCGCGCCCACAGAGGUGAGAGGCCAUGUGAUUUGGAGCGCGAUGCUCUAACCACUCGGCCACCUUUAUAAAUGAAAUUAAUAUACCAAUAAUAGUCGCUGUUUAUAAUCGGUAAUGUCUUAUUAUCCCCAUCUUUUUUGUAACUUUUCCAUAACUUUUGUCGGGUAUAACUUUUUUGUAACUUUUCCAUAACUUUUGUCGGGUAUAACUUUUUCAUAACUUUUGUCGGGUAUAACUUUAAUGUAACUUUCUCCAUAACUUUUGUUGGGUAUAACUUUUUUGUAACUUUUCCAUAACUUUUGUCAGGUAUAACUUUUUUGUAACUUUUCCAUAAAUUUUGUCAGGUAUAACUUUUUUGUAACUUUUCCACAAUUUUUGUUGGGUAUAACUUUUUUGUAACUUUUCCAUAACUUAAGUAUAACUUUUUGAUAACUUUUGUGAAGUAUAACUUUUUUGAAGUAUAACUUUUUGAUAACUUUUAUGCACUUGUUGUAUUCAUGUUGAAAUAAAAGAUGAUAACUUAUACAUGAGUAUAACUUUUUUGUACCCGAGUUAUAAGUAAAGUAUAACUUUAUUUGAAGAAGUGGUUCCAAACUCCGAUAACUUAGUUAUAACUUUUUUGUAACUUUUCUUAGUUACAAAGUUAUAACUUAGUUAUAGUUUUUUUCGGUAUGGGUU
This is a long non-coding RNA of Ostrea edulis (European flat oyster), 1367 nucleotides long. RefSeq lists it as uncharacterized. NCBI's taxonomy places the organism in Eukaryota, Metazoa, Mollusca, Bivalvia, Ostreida, Ostreidae. The record is from RefSeq and is a predicted model, not a curated record. The transcript is spliced from 4 exons.